RNAcentral lists this long non-coding RNA (930 nucleotides) under Medicago truncatula (barrel medic). RNAcentral describes it as "long non-coding RNA (MTRU_LNC000988)". The record is from RNAcentral. Lineage: Eukaryota; Viridiplantae; Streptophyta; Magnoliopsida; Fabales; Fabaceae.
UUUUUUUCACCCUUUCCAAAAUUCCUUCUUUAAUUUGUAGCUCGCACAAAAUGUUUUAUCUCGUUUAAGUAAUAUUAUUUUAUUCUUUUCUUUCAUUGCAGUAAUAAUUAUUAAAUGUCAAACUGCAAAAGAUUGUCCAGACAUUUACAACUUGUUUCCUUUAGUUUAUAAGUGCAUUGACAACAUAUGUGUAGAUGUUAGGUUGGAGCCACCUUAUGAUAUGAGUAUCUCACCCAAGAGUGUACACAAAUGACAAACGCCAUGCAAGGAGGAGUGAGUUCUUGCACUAGCAAAAACUCUAUGCAAUAUGCCUUAACACGUGUUGCCAUUUAAAUUUUUACUAGGAUCCAAUAAUUAUAUCUUUUAUAUUUUUUGUUUUUAUAACUUCAUCGAUGUUGAGAUUACGACUCUAUCUAUAGUCUAAGAUGUUGAUAAUAAAAUGAAAUAAGGCAUUAAAUAAUAUUAUAAUUGAAUUGUGAGAUUUGAUAGACUUUGAUGUUUUCCUUGCCAUGCGACUUGUGCAACAAAAGAUGAACUUGGUUUUCUUUCAUCGUCAGGUACUGCAGUAACCACUCCAUAUCUUUGAUAGUGAAUUUCCAUUGCUUAUGAACAAAUUGUCUAGCCAAAAACCAUAAAUAAAACAACAUUGCAAGAGUUGUCUGGUUAGAGAGAAAUUGACAGCGAACAAAACUAAUUGAUUCAAGAAUUUCAAAAUAACAAUUUAUUCAAAAUAACUUUAAAACCAACAUUAAACUGAAACAAACAAACUAAAAAAACUCUAAAACCUAUAUCUAACUAAGAACUAUCAUAUUUUAUUAGUAGCGUAUCUCUUGAAUAUUCUACAAAAAAUUUAAAUAAAUUAAUUACAAUUUAAUGUACAAAUUGUGUAUAUGAGAUAAAUAUUUGUCAUCGAUCAAUUAGCUAAAAGAU